Long non-coding RNA from Piliocolobus tephrosceles (Ugandan red Colobus), 298 nucleotides. RefSeq lists it as uncharacterized. NCBI's taxonomy places the organism in Eukaryota, Metazoa, Chordata, Mammalia, Primates, Cercopithecidae. The transcript has 3 exons. The record is from RefSeq and is a predicted model, not a curated record.
CAGGUGUCAGCAAGUCCCUCCUCUGCACCUGCAGAAGCAGCAACAGAAAAGACACAAGUGGAAGAGGAAGUGAAAACCACGAAGAAAACCAGGAAGCCCAGGAAGAAUACCUGGUGGAAUGUCCUGAACCGUUGGGACAUUUUUAAUAUAUUUUAGAGACCUCUGAAGAUUCUGCAAACACCAGGAAGGGCCCUGAUGUGGAGAUGUCAACCUGGCGCAGACCUGAUGUGGAUCGUGAUUGUUUCGGGAACUGUGCUACUCCAAAAACUUUUAUAAUCUUUGCUUAAUUUGUUUUUAA